AAAUUGAAGAGUUUGAUCAUGGCUCAGAUUGAACGCUGGCGGCAGGCCUAACACAUGCAAGUCGAGCGGUAACACAGAGAGCUUGCUCUCGGGUGACGAGCGGCGGACGGGUGAGUAAUGUCUGGGAAACUGCCUGAUGGAGGGGGAUAACUACUGGAAACGGUAGCUAA
Molecule: ribosomal RNA, 170 nt
Filed under: Klebsiella pneumoniae
Lineage: Bacteria; Pseudomonadati; Pseudomonadota; Gammaproteobacteria; Enterobacterales; Enterobacteriaceae
Also listed under: 1 other name
Description: partial 16S ribosomal RNA
Rfam family: Bacterial small subunit ribosomal RNA
Source: RNAcentral